This is a non-coding RNA of Aedes aegypti (yellow fever mosquito), 74 nucleotides long. Lineage: Eukaryota; Metazoa; Arthropoda; Insecta; Diptera; Culicidae. The record is from Rfam.
UGUUCUGUAGUUUAGUUGGUUAAAGCGCUGAUCUAGCGUACACGGAGUCGUGAGUUCGAGUCUCACUAGAACGC